GUUUCAAACUUGAAUCAUCAAGAAACAAAUAAAUCCAGCACGAAACCGACACGAAUCCGAACUAAUUCUUAGCUAAAUUGCUAGCAAAUAUCAACAGAAUCCACACUGAAAAGAAGAAGCCAGAACAAGGUUUCCAACAUUUCGGAUUCAAACCAUAAGAGGCUUUCAAAUUCUCAGCAUCUCAAAGAUAGUUUCAACCCUCACUCAAAAUUCUAACUACAUCAGCAAACAAUUACUCAUGUUUAUUUUCUUUAAAAUUCUAACUUAAACCAAAAGGAAACCUCUGAAGAACUGAACUAGUCAUGAAGACGGUUUGACCAGAAUGUAACAGAACUUAACAGAGGAUCGCAACAGUUCUAAAUGCACAGCCAAAUUAGAAAUCAAUGACAUAUACACAGCCGAGCCAAACCAGACAUACUCGUGCAAAUGGCAAACCAACACAUUACGACCAACAGUCACAUUUCUUAAUCAAACGCCAAAUAUAGGCUACAUGGGAUUAAAAGCGAACCUGAAUCAAUAAACAACCCGUUUAACUUUGUACGAGCUUGGAAUACAAACGAGACCUGGAAGCUAAUGAGUUGAAAUCAGAAGCUUAGACAGCAGCAGACUCACACUUCUCGACGAGUUCCAUUGUUCGUCCGAAAACCAGAAUUGAAAUCAAAGAAAACUCUAUUGCGUCGAAAUGCUAAUAAAAACUUAUCUCCAUUGAAAUUAUGAAACAGACGGGACAGAAAAUAAAACUUGAACAAACUCAAUCCAUCUCCAUUUUUGAAAGGAAUCAAAGAAAGAUAAUGAAAACUUCUUUUUUUUAGACUUUUUGAAACAGAACCAGGAACAAAAACCAAAAGAAACUGGAAUAUCUCAGCCUUUUCUUCCAUAAUCAAAACUAAAAUCCAGAAAAAACUCCAUGAAAACUGAAUGAACUCUCAAACCUUUUUUUUUUCAAUCCUUUCGACUCCGAAAAAAAUCCCCCUCAAGUAAUCUGAUAAGGGCCCUUUUUGAAACGAACCACCUGAUAAAUGUGGGGCUCGGAUUGAACGACAUCAAUCCAAUGCCUCACAUUCAUCCGACGACUCGUCUCUAGGACCUUCUAAUCGCGUGAGAUGGUUCAAAAUCGGGCGAGUGAGAGGAAUGAGAAUCUUUGGUGAUAAAUCCGUUAAAAUGGUGAGAGGAGGGAUGGGGGGAACGCGUGGGUUCGGGAUUCAUGCUCACUAGCCAUGAAUUUGGACGGAACUUGGGCUUGUUCGCGUGUUCUUCGGAGAAGAAGAACAGU
This 1273-nucleotide long non-coding RNA is filed under the name Nicotiana benthamiana. RNAcentral describes it as "long non-coding RNA (NBEN_LNC030519)". The record is from RNAcentral. Lineage: Eukaryota; Viridiplantae; Streptophyta; Magnoliopsida; Solanales; Solanaceae.